GCAUUGGAUGGUUUCCUAUUUGUGGUGAAUCGAGACGGAAGCAUUGUAUUUGUAUCAGAAAAUGUCACACAAUACCUGCAAUAUAAGCAAGAGGACCUGGUUAACACAAGUGUUUACAAUAUCUUACAUGAAGAAGACAGAAAGGAUUUUCUUAAAAAUUUACCAAAAUCUACAGUUAAUGGAGUUUCCUGGACAAAUGAGACCCAAAGACAAAAAAGCCAUACAUUUAAUUGCCGUAUGUUGAUGAAGACACCACAUGAUAUUCUGGAAGACAUAAACGCCAGUCCUGAAAUGCGCCAGAGAUAUGAAACAAUGCAGUGCUUUGCCCUGUCUCAGCCACGAGCUAUGAUGGAGGAAGGGGAAGAUUUGCAAUCUUGUAUGAUCUGUGUGGCACGCCGCAUUACUACAGGAGAAAGAGCAUUUCCAUCAAACCCUGAGAGCUUUAUUACCAGACAUGAUCUUUCAGACGGAGUCUUGCUCUGUUGCCCAGGAUGGAGUGCAAUGGUGCGAUCUCGGCUCACUGCAACCUCCACUUCUUGGGUUCAAGUGAUUUUCCUGCCACAGCCUCCCAAACAGUUUGGACUACAGGCAGGUGCCACCAUGCCCAGCUAAUUUUUAUAUUUUUAGUAGAGACGGGGUUUCACCAUGUUGUCCAGGCUGGUCUUGAACUCUUGACCUCAAGUGAUGCGCCUGCCUCAGCCUCCCAAAGUGCUGGGAUUACAGUUGUGAGCCACUGUCCUUGGCCGGGAGUAAUUCUUGAUGUCAACCUGAGUUUCAGUCUUGGUGUGCCAUUUUUUAAUCAUAGAAAUAAAAAAUUAAAGACA
Molecule: small RNA, 824 nt
Filed under: Pongo abelii (Sumatran orangutan)
Lineage: Eukaryota; Metazoa; Chordata; Mammalia; Primates; Hominidae
Description: processed transcript
Source: RNAcentral